GUGCCAGCAGCCGCGGUAAUAGGGAGGGUGCGAGCGUUAAUCGGAAUUACUGGGCGUAAAGCGCAUGCAGGUGGUCUGUUAAGUCAGAUGUGAAAGCCCCGGGCUCAACCUGGGAAUUGCAUUUGAAACUGGCAGGCUAGAGUACUGUAGAGGGGGGUAGAAUUUCAGGUGUAGCGGUGAAAUGCGUAGAGAUCUGAAGGAAUACCAGUGGCGAAGGCGGCCCCCUGGACAGAUACUGACACUCAGAUGCGAAAGCGUGGGGAGCAAACAGGAUUAGAAACCCCCGUA
This 288-nucleotide ribosomal RNA is filed under the name uncultured prokaryote. RNAcentral describes it as "partial 16S ribosomal RNA". It matches the Rfam family "Bacterial small subunit ribosomal RNA", at positions 505 to 792 of the family's 1533-position model. The record is from RNAcentral.